UACGGAGGGAGCUAGCGUUGUUCGGAAUUACUGGGCGUAAAGCGCGCGUAGGCGGCUUCGUAAGUUAGAGGUGAAAGCCCGGGGCUCAACUCCGGAACUGCCUUUAAGACUGCAUCGCUUGAAUCCGGGAGAGGUGAGUGGAAUUCCGAGUGUAGAGGUGAAAUUCGUAGAUAUUGGGAAGAACACCAGUGGCGAAGGCGGCUCACUGGCUCGUAUCUGACGCUCAGGCGCGAUAGCGUGGGGAUCAAACAGG
This 253-nucleotide ribosomal RNA is filed under the name uncultured bacterium. RNAcentral's name for it is "partial 16S ribosomal RNA". It matches the Rfam family "Bacterial small subunit ribosomal RNA", at positions 524 to 776 of the family's 1533-position model. The record is from RNAcentral.